This 18-nucleotide small nuclear RNA is filed under the name Arabidopsis thaliana (thale cress). RNAcentral describes it as "snRNA_13102". Lineage: Eukaryota; Viridiplantae; Streptophyta; Magnoliopsida; Brassicales; Brassicaceae. The record is from RNAcentral.
GGGGCGCAACGCCCUCGA